CCUAAGGCCCAACCAAAUCCAAGCCAAGGCAAUGCUUAAUGAAAGAACCAACAUGCUUUCGCAUUUCAAACUCACGAACGCACCUGAACUCUUCAUCUCUGCCGCGCCGGAAUUCGCCACUGGCGGUAGCGGAUGACCUAACCCUCAAAACCUUACAUAAAAACACUCGUACCUUCUCCCUCUGAUUCCCUUCCCUAAGUCCGAAUCAAAGAACAACUCAAAUAAACCCUAAAUUUCCAGAUCCAAAAAUUAAAUGAUGCGGCGAGGGAAUUGAAACCUAUGAGGGUAGGGUUUUAAAUCCCGAAGCUCGAUACUUCACUUCGAUGGAGAUCUAGGAGGAAACCAAACAAGAAUCGGAGGAUUAGUUACCUGCCGGAGUAGCUUCGGCGGCUCUUCAGAAGUGGCGUUUGUUAAAGAAAUCUAGAGAUUCGUCUCCUUAGGUAACGUGGCUCUUGAUUCCUUUGCUCCAGUUAUUAAUUCGAAUCUUAUCCUUCUCUCCUCUCUGAAUUUUUAGUCGGUAGGUAAUGCUUGCUCAUGGUGUUGGUGCGAAGAGGGGAAUGAGAGUGAAGAAUGAUGAGUUCUGAGAUUUUGUGCAGUGUGUGAAGAUAAUGAUGAUGGCGACGCAGAGGAUUUCAAGGACUGGAGAGGGAUGAGUGAAUUUGAACAGUGAAAAGAUUGAAGGUUGUAAACUCGUGAAUCUCAAAUGCAGAUUGAAGGCUGCAAGCUCGUGAAUCUCAGAUGCAGAUUAAAGGAUUAAGUUGCAGAAUGAAGAAUUCUUAAGUUGCAGAAUGAAGAAAAAAUCGAGUUGCAGAAUGAAAAAAAACUCCCUCUACAGAAUGAUAGGUUAUUGUUUAUGCUAAAUCUUCUGCAAUGUUGAAAAAUAAUGCAGGGCGAUGCAUUUCUGUUAGCCAAUGUGCAGGGUUGUACUAUUUCCAAAUGUCUGAGCUGUAGGGUCUUGUUUGAAAAGUUCUUUUGCAGGCCGAACUGAUCAUAUUUCUAUUACGCGUUUGCCUCAUGCAGGUUAAUAUUUCUUGGUGCAGCUGGUGGUGGAUGGACUUAUUGAUGUGCUGCAGGAUGGUGCAGCCUUGUUGUGGGAUGGCAAGAAUGAGUACAAGUUGGAUUUGAACUUCCUGUACAGGAAGUUGAAUGGGUUUAGAGUUAGGAAAUUUAAUUGUAAACUAUAUUGAUCUUAGAUAAGUUAUAUAUUAUGUAAAAUAUUGUGCUGUAACAUGAAUGGAUUGAAAAUAUGGAAUAUAUUUGGAUUUUUUUUUCCAAAA
Lathyrus oleraceus (garden pea) is the source of this 1277-nucleotide long non-coding RNA. RefSeq lists it as uncharacterized. The record is from RefSeq and is a predicted model, not a curated record. The transcript is spliced from 2 exons. NCBI's taxonomy places the organism in Eukaryota, Viridiplantae, Streptophyta, Magnoliopsida, Fabales, Fabaceae.